RNAcentral lists this ribosomal RNA (200 nucleotides) under uncultured bacterium. RNAcentral describes it as "partial 16S ribosomal RNA". It matches the Rfam family "Bacterial small subunit ribosomal RNA", at positions 8 to 190 of the family's 1533-position model. The record is from RNAcentral.
AGAGUUUGAUCCUGGCUCAGGAUGAACGCUGGCGGCGUGCUUAACACAUGCAAGUCGAACGGAACUUGUAAGAGGAAGUCUUCGGAUGGAAACUUACUUGUUUAGUGGCGGACGGGUGAGUAACGCGUGGGUAACCUGCCUUACACAGGGGGAUAACAGCCGGAAACGGCUGCUAAUACCGCAUGAGCGCACAGCUUCGC